RNAcentral lists this ribosomal RNA (761 nucleotides) under uncultured Prevotella sp. RNAcentral describes it as "bacterial SSU rRNA". It matches the Rfam family "Bacterial small subunit ribosomal RNA", at positions 28 to 776 of the family's 1533-position model. The record is from RNAcentral. Lineage: Bacteria; Pseudomonadati; Bacteroidota; Bacteroidia; Bacteroidales; Prevotellaceae.
GAUGAACGCUGGCUACAGGCUUAACACAUGCAAGUCGAGGGGAAACGGCGUUGAGUGCUUGCACUGAAUGGACGUCGACCGGCGCACGGGUGAGUAACGCGUAUCCAACCUUCCCGUUACUGCGGGAUAACCUGCCGAAAGGCAGACUAAUACCGCAUGUUCUUCGAUGACGGCAUCAGAUUCGAAGCAAAGACUCGUCGGUAACGGAGGGGGAUGCGUCUGAUUAGCUUGUUGGCGGGGCGACGGCCCACCAAGGCGACGAUCAGUAGGGGUUCUGAGAGGAAGGUCCCCCACAUUGGAACUGAGACACGGUCCAAACUCCUACGGGAGGCAGCAGUGAGGAAUAUUGGUCAAUGGGCGGAAGCCCGAACCAGCCAAGUAGCGUGCAGGACGACGGCCCUACGGGUUGUAAACUGCUUUUAUGCGGGGAUAAAGUGAGGGACGCGUCCCUUUUUGCAGGUACCGCAUGAAUAAGGACCGGCUAAUUCCGUGCCAGCAGCCGCGGUAAUACGGAAGGUCCGGGCGUUAUCCGGAUUUAUUGGGUUUAAAGGGAGCGUAGGCCGGGGAUUAAGUGUGUUGUGAGAUGUAGGCGCCCAACGUCUGACUUGCAGCGCAUACUGGUUCCCUUGAGUACGCGCAACGCCGGCGGAAUUCGUCGUGUAGCGGUGAAAUGCUUAGAUAUGACGAAGAACCCCGAUUGCGAAGGCAGCCGGCGGGAGCGCAACUGACGCUGAAGCUCGAAGGUGCGGGUAUCGAACAGG